GUCUACAGCCAUCCCACCCUGAAACCACCCAAUCUCAUCUGAUCUGAGAAGCUAAGCAGGGUUAGCCCUGGUUAGUGCUUGGAUGGUACUUAGAUUACCCAUAUACACUUCAUAAUGCAAUAACAGGAAAUACAGAUA
This 138-nucleotide ribosomal RNA is filed under the name Sorex araneus (European shrew). The record is from RNAcentral. Lineage: Eukaryota; Metazoa; Chordata; Mammalia; Eulipotyphla; Soricidae.